Molecule: long non-coding RNA, 2130 nt
Filed under: Homo sapiens (human)
Lineage: Eukaryota; Metazoa; Chordata; Mammalia; Primates; Hominidae
Description: non-protein coding lnc-BTNL8-5:4
Source: RNAcentral
GUGGGCACAGCAAGCUGACUUGCCUUCUCGAGUGGGUGAAAAACAAUUGGCAUUUCAGUGAGGAACUGGAUGUAAUACAUGAAAUGGCUCAGAUCUACUCAGCUGGAACCCAGCACUUUCCCAGUGGAAAGAAUUUGAUGCCAUUUCCGCACACCCAAAUUCCUGUUGGCAGGAUAAUCAGCAAGUAAUACAGAGAGCUGCUUCCUUCAACAGCUGCAUUCAGCACAAAACCGAGGGCCGAUUAUGUGGAGAAAUAUCCUUCAGAGGCUGGUGGAGGCCGCUCUGCUUCAAGCUGUGAGCCGAGUCAGGGCUGCUUCACUUGUCUCUCAUCCUCUGGACCAGUGACCACCUGGGGUGGCAACAGGGCCAGAGGACGAGCAGAGACACAAGAGGCCUCCUAAGGCCUCAGCUCAGAACUAACAAACUCGCUUCUGCCCACAUUCCAUUGGCCAAAGCCCUGCAUGAGUUGUGGAAAAGUACUCUCCACUUUGGUGAACAUUAGUAAGAGAAAAGAGGGAAGGAAGAAUUGCAGGCAAGUAAUACCAUCUACCUCGGCCUCCUAUGCAGCUUGGUGUGUACCUGCACCUAAGUUCUGGCCUGUAGGAUAUGAGGGGAAGUGAGGUGUGCAACUCCAGGACCUGCCCCUGUAAAGACUGGGCCCUGCCUUUCCCCUGCCCAUCUGCUGGGGACAUGGUAGGACUGCAGCAGUUGCCUGGCCCAGAGAUAGACGGCACAGCUAUCCUGCUGGUCCUACCUCUAGACCGCCACAUGUACCUCACUUACACUGCUUGGGUUUUGCAUCUUAAAACCCCAAUUAGCACACCAUUCAUUCAUUCAUUCCCCCAUCAACAAGUAUGUACUGAGUGUCUUUUUGCCAGGCAUUGCACUAGGUUUUGGAGAGAUGACAGUGAACAAAAACAAACUUGGCUGUUCUGUAUCUUGGCUGUGGCAGUGGUUACACAAGCCUACACAUGUGAUAAAACUGCAUAGAACUAAAUACACACACACAGAGGAAUGCCAGUCAAACUGGGAAUUAAAGAAUCAAAAAGUCACUGGUGACUCAACAUGGCAGCAGUCCAGCUCAACCAUACAGAUGACAGCAGUGUGCUGAAGUAUGACAAAGGAAUGAUUUAAAAGGAAUUGAGGCAGAGCUGCCAGGCAGGCAUGCUCACCUUGGACUUUGAAGCAAGAGAGACAUAAAUAAAGGUCUUUGUUCUGUAAGUAGAGUGUUCAUAUAAUUUAUCAUCCAAACUGAGACACCUGUGAAAAUAAUUACACUGGAACAACUUGUGUGACUGAUCAGCUGGUCACUCCAUCUUUAAGUCAUUGUCUUGUUGAGUCUGUUAUCAGAGCCCAUGGAGUGCCAUGCAUGGACAGCUUAUUUAGGCACAACAGAGAAAAAUUAAAGGGAAGGAGGAGCAAGGAAGAGUGGAAAGGAUAAAGAAAUGGUGAGCAUUGGCAGGAAACAAUGCAAGGAGAAAAGGGAACAGGAAUCGGAUUUUCUACUAAUUUGCUGUGUGUUCCUGUGUCAGUUUAUAAAUUAGUGUCUAUAUUUACAACCGAUUGGAAGAACGAACUUUUUAGAUCCUCUCAUCCAACAAAGCUGCAGAUUUCUUUAUUGAGAUGGAGUUGAGAAAGCUUUAAAACAGGCCAAAGCAACAUGAGGACAUGUGUCAUGAGAAGAGAAAUGGUCUUCCAUAAAUUGAGUGCUGGGGAAGGCUUGGUGUAGGUAAUGUAGAGGUUCUCAAACUGUGGAGAAGCUCAAAAUGUGUUCCUUUGAGCCUUGGUCUUCUAGUUAGGCCACUGUCUAAGCCACUAUACAAAAAGACACCAAACACACUGGCUUCAACAAGACAAGCCUCUGUUUCUCUUUCGGGUGACAGGAGAAGCAGAGGACUAAGCUUUCUUUUCCAAGUCAUCACCUGAAAGUUGCCCCUUCACUUCUGCUCACAUUGCAUUGGCCAGAGACUUGAAAGGAAGCUGGGCACGUGCUGUGGGGAAAAGAAAGAGAGAUCAGAUUGUUACUGUGUCUGUAUAGAAAGAAGUAGACGUAGGAGACUCCAUUCUGUUCUGUACUAAGAAAAAUUCUGCCUUGAGAUUCUGUUAAUCUGUGACCUUACCCCCAACCCU